CCACCGCGUGAGUGAUGAAGGCUUUCGGGUCGUAAAACUCUUUUGUUAGGGAAGAACAAGUGCUAGUUGAAUAAGCUGGCACCUUGACGGUACCUAACCAGAAAGCCACGGCUAACUACGUGCCAGCAGCCGCGGUAAUACGUAGGUGGCAAGCGUUAUCCGGGAAUUAUUGGGCGUAAAGCGCGCGCAGGUGGUUUCUUAAGUCUGAUGUGAAAGCCCACGGCUCAACCGUGGAGGGUCAUUGGAAACUGGGAGACUUGAGUGCAGAAAAGGAAAGUGGAAUUUCCAUGUGUAGCGGUGAAAUGCGUAAAGAUAUGGAGGAACACCAGUGGCGAAGGCGACUUUCUGGUCUGUAACUGACACUGAGGCGCGAAAGCGUGGGGAGCAAACAGGAUUAGAUACCCUGGUAGUCCACGCCGUAAACGAUGAGUGCUAAGUGUUAGAGGGUUUCCGCCCUUUAGUGCUGAAGUUAACGCAUUAAGCACUCCCCCUGGGGAGUACGGCCGCAAGGCUGAAACUCAGAUGAAUU
This 529-nucleotide ribosomal RNA is filed under the name uncultured Bacillus sp. Its description in RNAcentral is "bacterial SSU rRNA". It matches the Rfam family "Bacterial small subunit ribosomal RNA", at positions 394 to 911 of the family's 1533-position model. The record is from RNAcentral. Lineage: Bacteria; Bacillati; Bacillota; Bacilli; Caryophanales; Bacillaceae.